Non-coding RNA from Triticum aestivum (bread wheat), 102 nucleotides. Lineage: Eukaryota; Viridiplantae; Streptophyta; Magnoliopsida; Poales; Poaceae. The record is from Rfam.
CAGAUGCAGAUUAAGCGACAUGAGUUUAUGUGUAAUUUACAUCUGAGGCAUUUUUGUGAUGUCACUCCUUUUCUAUUUCACCUUGGAGAUUUUAUGCAUCCC